RNAcentral lists this ribosomal RNA (440 nucleotides) under uncultured bacterium. Its description in RNAcentral is "partial 16S ribosomal RNA". It matches the Rfam family "Bacterial small subunit ribosomal RNA", at positions 338 to 795 of the family's 1533-position model. The record is from RNAcentral.
CCUACGGGUGGCAGCAGUAGGGAAUAUUGCUCAAUGGGGGAAACCCUGAAGCAGCAACGCCGCGUGGAGGAUGAAGGUUUUCGGAUUGUAAACUCCUUUUGUUAGAGAAGAUAAUGACGGUAUCUAACGAAUAAGCACCGGCUAACUCCGUGCCAGCAGGCGCGGUAAUACGAAGGGUGCAAGCGUUACUCGGAAUAACUGGGCGUAAAGAGCGCGUAGGCGGGUUAGCAAGUCAGAUGUGAAAGCCUAUGGCUUAACCCUAGAAUUGCAUUUGAAACUGGUAUUCUAGAGUAUGGGAGAGGUAGGUGGAAUUCUUGGUGUAGGGGUAAAAUGCGUAGAGAUCAAGAGGAAUACUCAUUGCGAAGGCGACCUGCUAGAACAUAACUGACGCUGGUGCGCGAAAGCGUGGGGAGCAAACAGGAUUAGAUACCCUUGUAGUC